This 249-nucleotide ribosomal RNA is filed under the name uncultured bacterium. Its description in RNAcentral is "partial 16S ribosomal RNA". It matches the Rfam family "Bacterial small subunit ribosomal RNA", at positions 524 to 775 of the family's 1533-position model. The record is from RNAcentral.
UACGUAGGGUGCAAGCGUUAAUCGGAAUUACUGGGCGUAAAGCGUGCGCAGGCGGUUUGUAAGUCUGUCGUGAAAGCCCCGGGCUCAACCUGGGAAUUGCGAUGGAGACUGCAAGGCUUGAAUCUGGCAGAGGGGGUAGAAUUCCACGUGUAGCAGUGAAAUGCGUAGAGAUGUGGAGAACACCGAUGGCGAAGGCAGCCCCCUGGGUCAAGAUUGACGCUCAUGCACGAAAGCGUGGGGAGCAACAGG